GACGAACGCUGGCGGCGUGCUUAACACAUGCAAGUCGAACGGAAAGGCCCUGCUUUUGUGGUGUGCUCGAGUGGCGAACGGGUGAGUAACACGUGAGUAACCUGCCCUUGACUUUGGGAUAACUUCAGGAAACUGGGGCUAAUACCGGAUAGGAGCUCCUGCUGCAUGGUGGGGGUUGGAAAGUUUCGGCGGUUGGGGAUGGACUCGCGGGUUAUCAGCUUGUUGGUGGGGUAGUGGCUUACCAAGGGUUUGACGGGUAGCCGGCCUGGGAGGGUGAACGGCCACAUUGGGACUGAGAUAGGGCCCAGACUCCUACGGGAGGCAGCAGUGGGGAAUAUUGCACAAUGGGCGGAAGCCGGAUGAAGAAACGCCGCGUGCGGGAUGACGGCCUUCGGGUUGUAAACCGCUUCCGCCUGUGACGAAGCGUGAGUGACGGUAAUGGGUAAAGAAGCACCGGCUAACUACGUG
This 468-nucleotide ribosomal RNA is filed under the name uncultured bacterium. RNAcentral describes it as "partial 16S ribosomal RNA". It matches the Rfam family "Bacterial small subunit ribosomal RNA", at positions 28 to 507 of the family's 1533-position model. The record is from RNAcentral.